This 71-nucleotide transfer RNA is filed under the name Pleodorina starrii. RNAcentral's name for it is "tRNA-Pro". It matches the Rfam family "tRNA". Rfam says of the family: Transfer RNA (tRNA) molecules are approximately 80 nucleotides in length. Their secondary structure includes four short double-helical elements and three loops (D, anti-codon, and T loops). Lineage: Eukaryota; Viridiplantae; Chlorophyta; Chlorophyceae; Chlamydomonadales; Volvocaceae. The record is from RNAcentral.
GGGAGUUUGGUCUAGUGGUAUGAUUCUCGCUUCGGGUGCGAGAGGCCGCGAGAUGAUUCUCGCAACUCCCC